RNAcentral lists this ribosomal RNA (778 nucleotides) under Bacillus amyloliquefaciens. RNAcentral describes it as "bacterial SSU rRNA". It matches the Rfam family "Bacterial small subunit ribosomal RNA", at positions 56 to 816 of the family's 1533-position model. The record is from RNAcentral. RNAcentral also lists the same sequence under 1 other name. Lineage: Bacteria; Bacillati; Bacillota; Bacilli; Caryophanales; Bacillaceae.
UGCAAGUCGAGCGGACAGAUGGGAGCUUGCUCCCUGAUGUUAGCGGCGGACGGGUGAGUAACACGUGGGUAACCUGCCUGUAAGACUGGGAUAACUCCGGGAAACCGGGGCUAAUACCGGAUGGUUGUUUGAACCGCAUGGUUCAGACAUAAAAGGUGGCUUCGGCUACCACUUACAGAUGGACCCGCGGCGCAUUAGCUAGUUGGUGAGGUAACGGCUCACCAAGGCAACGAUGCGUAGCCGACCUGAGAGGGUGAUCGGCCACACUGGGACUGAGACACGGCCCAGACUCCUACGGGAGGCAGCAGUAGGGAAUCUUCCGCAAUGGACGAAAGUCUGACGGAGCAACGCCGCGUGAGUGAUGAAGGUUUUCGGAUCGUAAAGCUCUGUUGUUAGGGAAGAACAAGUGCCGUUCAAAUAGGGCGGCACCUUGACGGUACCUAACCAGAAAGCCACGGCUAACUACGUGCCAGCAGCCGCGGUAAUACGUAGGUGGCAAGCGUUGUCCGGAAUUAUUGGGCGUAAAGGGCUCGCAGGCGGUUUCUUAAGUCUGAUGUGAAAGCCCCCGGCUCAACCGGGGAGGGUCAUUGGAAACUGGGGAACUUGAGUGCAGAAGAGGAGAGUGGAAUUCCACGUGUAGCGGUGAAAUGCGUAGAGAUGUGGAGGAACACCAGUGGCGAAGGCGACUCUCUGGUCUGUAACUGAUGCUGAGGAGCGAAAGCGUGGGGAGCGAACUGGAUUAGAUACCCUGGUAGUCCACUCCGUAAACGAUGAGUGC